UACGUAGGGUCCGAGCGUUGUCCGGAUUCAUUGGGCGUAAAGAGCUCGUAGGCGGCUCAGUAAGUCGGAUGUGAAAACUCAGGGCUCAACCCGGAGACGCCAUCCGAUACUGCUGUGGCUUGAGUCUGGUAGGGGAACACGGAAUACCUGGUGUAGCGGUGAAAUGCGCAGAUAUCAGGUGGAACACCGAUGGCGAAGGCAGUGUUCUGGGCCAGUACUGACGCUGAGGAGCGAAAGCGUGGGGAGCAAACAGGAUUAGAAACCCCCGUAGUCC
RNAcentral lists this ribosomal RNA (274 nucleotides) under uncultured bacterium. RNAcentral's name for it is "partial 16S ribosomal RNA". It matches the Rfam family "Bacterial small subunit ribosomal RNA", at positions 524 to 796 of the family's 1533-position model. The record is from RNAcentral.